RNAcentral lists this ribosomal RNA (305 nucleotides) under uncultured bacterium. RNAcentral describes it as "bacterial SSU rRNA". It matches the Rfam family "Bacterial small subunit ribosomal RNA", at positions 335 to 657 of the family's 1533-position model. The record is from RNAcentral.
UAGCCUACGGGAGGCAGCAGUGAGGAAUAUUGGUCAAUGGGCGGGAGCCUGAACCAGCCAAGUCGCGUGAGUGAAGAAGUAUCUCGGUACGUAAAGCUCUAUCAGCAGGGAAGAAAAUGACGGUACCUGACUAAGAAGCCCCGGCUAACUACGUGCCAGCAGCCGCGGUAAUACGUAGGGGGCAAGCGUUAUCCGGAUUUACUGGGUGUAAAGGGAGCGUAGACGGAGGAGCAAGUCUGAUGUGAAAAUCCGGGGCCCAACCCCGGAACUGCAUUGGAAACUGUUUAUCUAGAGUGUCGGAGAGG